RNAcentral lists this ribosomal RNA (253 nucleotides) under uncultured Parachlamydia sp. RNAcentral describes it as "partial 16S ribosomal RNA". It matches the Rfam family "Bacterial small subunit ribosomal RNA", at positions 524 to 776 of the family's 1533-position model. The record is from RNAcentral. Lineage: Bacteria; Pseudomonadati; Chlamydiota; Chlamydiia; Parachlamydiales; Parachlamydiaceae.
UACGGAGGGUGCAAGCAUUAAUCGGAUUUAUUGGGCGUAAAGGACGCGUAGGCGGUGAAGUCAGUCGGGUGUGAAAUCCCGGAGCUCAACUCCGGAACAGCACUCGAAACUGCUUCUCUAGAGGGUAGGCGGGGAAAACGGAAUUCCACAAGUAGCGGUGAAAUGCGUAGAUAUGUGGAAGAACACCUGUGGCGAAAGCGGUUUUCCAGCUUAUUCCUGACGCUGAGGCGUGAAAGCAAGGGGAGCAAACAGG